This 1018-nucleotide long non-coding RNA is filed under the name Homo sapiens (human). RNAcentral's name for it is "HSALNT0315973". The record is from RNAcentral. Lineage: Eukaryota; Metazoa; Chordata; Mammalia; Primates; Hominidae.
CUUAAUCCCGCGCGGCUCAGAGAUGGGUUUCUGGACUCGCGAAGCAGCUGCAACAAGGCAUCACUCACUGUAUAAGUAUUUCCAUUUCUGAGAGCAAAAGGAAGAACUUAAGCGGGCGGCACUUGGAGUGUAAAUUGCUUUGUAGUAUUUAAAGGCAGAAUGGAUCCUGGGCAGCCGAGCUGCAACAAACCGGCAGGACUUCCUGUGAAAUCAUGACCACCAUGUGCUCUUUCAGCCUCUAUCAGUUCCUACCUCUAAGCACCUGAGAGCCAAAGCAAACCACAGGAAACCACAGAAUGAAAGCCAAGCAUAUUCCAUCAUUUCCUAAAACCAAGAUAGAGCACAUAUGGGAACUUGUGAAAUAAGGAUGCCCUGCGGUUGUUUUCAGGACUGAAGACAACAGCUCCACGAUGAAACCAAAGCACAAAGAGAGAAAGAAAAGAAAGAGAAAAAAGGAAGAAAGAAAAGAAAGAUGAAAGAAAGAAAGAGAAAGAAGAGAGAGGGAGAGAGAGAAAGAAAGAGAAGGAAAGAAAGAAGGAAGAAGAAAGAAAGAAAGAAAGAAAGAAAGAAAGAAAGAAAGAAAGAAAGAAAGAAAGAAAGAAAGAAAGAAAGAAAAAAGGAAGGAAGGAAAAGAAACACAUGGAAAGUGACAGGCUCCCUUUGUAUAUCACCUUGCAUGGUAAAGUGCAGAGAGCUCCAUCAGAGAAAUGCAGUUAAAAUCCAGUAGAUACCACCGUACACCUGAAAGACUUGUGAACAAACAGAUGACAGAAAAACAAAACAAAGCAAAACAGAACCUGAGAAUUUGAAUUGCUGCUUCUUUGGACCUUUUAAGUUGCAUUAUCCCAUAAAAUGUGGUGGAUUCAAUGUUGUAUGGCCUGUAAAACUAAGUAAUGAAGGCUGAUAUGUACCCACCUGGCUCUGUCUUGGGAUCACACAACUUGGGAGCCAAAACAGAUUGCAAAUGAUGUUCAAAUCAAGGACUGGCUUAAGGGAGAAAAUCAAUUAUACUGUACAA